This is a long non-coding RNA of Dreissena polymorpha, 562 nucleotides long. RefSeq lists it as uncharacterized. The record is from RefSeq and is a predicted model, not a curated record. The transcript is spliced from 2 exons. NCBI's taxonomy places the organism in Eukaryota, Metazoa, Mollusca, Bivalvia, Myida, Dreissenidae.
UCCACUGUUUAACAGCUUUUCUCGAGCCCACUACAUCCGCCGUCGCCACUACAACGCCAACACCCGGGGCCUCCUCUCCCAGCAACACCGACAUCGUGCCUAUCAUUGCCGGCGUUGUCGUAUGUGUUUUGGUGGCGCUGGCGAUAGUCGGCGUCGUCGUGUAUUUAUUUAAAUGCCGGAAACCAGCCAAAGUGCAACCCUGGGAGGAGAAAUCGGGACCGCCAGGGGAGACGGUCAACGGAUAUGACGCAAAGCAGGUCGACGACCAAAGCCUAAGCACUGCACCCAAUGGUACCGCAGGGAACCCAAAAGACGAACUUACGCCAGUGGGCGACCCCGAGAAUCCGGCGCUAAAAGAAGUACAGCGCCAAACUCUGUCCCCACUUCCAAACUCAAAGGCGUCCAACGGGACCAUUCAACCAGUCAUACCACCGAUCAAUAACACCGUGUGAAGACUGAGGAAUUUUAAUCCAGCUUUUGUCUCAGAACAUUUUAUAUUAAUGUGUGUAUUGUUGAUUUGUUUUAUUUUAAUGUAAAUUUUGUGUAAGAAAUACUAAAUAUA